This 462-nucleotide ribosomal RNA is filed under the name uncultured bacterium. Its description in RNAcentral is "partial 16S ribosomal RNA". It matches the Rfam family "Bacterial small subunit ribosomal RNA", at positions 28 to 507 of the family's 1533-position model. The record is from RNAcentral.
GAUGAACGCUGACAGAAUGCUUAACACAUGCAAGUCAUUGGCGAAGCUGCGCUUGCGCAGUCUAGCCAAGGCGGACGGGUGAGUAACGCGUCAGGAACUUGCCCUGCAGACAGGGAUAACAGACGGAAACGACUGAUAACACCUGGUAUUGUCAGGCUGGCGCAUGCCGGCCUGAUGAAAGGAGACGCUGCAGGAGAGCCUUGCGUCCUAUUAGCUAGUUGGUGGGGUAACGGCCCACCAAGGCGAUGAUAGGUAGCCGGCCUGAGAAGGUGAACGGCCACAAGGGGACUGAGAUACGGCCCUUACUCCUACGGGAGGCAGCAGUGGGGAAUAUUGGACAAUGGGGGCAACCCUGAUCCAGCAAUUCUGUGUGCACGAAGAAGGUUUUCGGAUUGUAAAGUGCUUUCAGCAGGGAAGAAGAAAGUGACGGUACCUGCAGAAGAAGCGACGGCUAAAUACGUG